AAAUUGAAGAGUUUGAUCAUGGCUCAGAUUGAACGCUGGCGGCAGGCCUAACACAUGCAAGUCGAACGGUAGCACAGAGAGCUUGCUCUCGGGUGACGAGUGGCGGACGGGUGAGUAAUGUCUGGGAAACUGCCUGAUGGAGGGGGAUAACUACUGGAAACGGUGGCUAAUACCGCAUAACGUCGAAAGACCAAAGAGGGGGACCUUCGGGCCUCUUGCCAUCAGAUGUGCCCAGAUGGGAUUAGCUAGUUGGUGAGGUAACGG
This 264-nucleotide ribosomal RNA is filed under the name Salmonella enterica. RNAcentral describes it as "partial 16S ribosomal RNA". It matches the Rfam family "Bacterial small subunit ribosomal RNA", at positions 1 to 263 of the family's 1533-position model. Lineage: Bacteria; Pseudomonadati; Pseudomonadota; Gammaproteobacteria; Enterobacterales; Enterobacteriaceae. The record is from RNAcentral.